This is a transfer RNA of 81 nucleotides. It matches the Rfam family "tRNA". Rfam says of the family: Transfer RNA (tRNA) molecules are approximately 80 nucleotides in length.
UCGGGUAUGGUGUAGCGGUAACAUCGCUGACUCUCAUCUUGAGCAUCUCAGCAGCCCGGGGUUCGACUCCCCGUAUCCGAG